AUGAGCACCACUUCGAGUCCAAGGCCGACUCACGCGCCUCCAAGACCUACCCGCAGCAAGCCGACGCCAUCCGCAAGGGUGGACACAUCGUCAUCAAGGCCCGUCCCUGCAAGGUUUGUGCCUUUUCCGAUCCGUUCUUACCAUAGGAAAGCUCUUAUGUCUGGUUGGUUGAUGGAUGCGUCUGGGAAUCUGCUGUGGUGA
Molecule: ribosomal RNA, 201 nt
Filed under: Triticum aestivum (bread wheat)
Lineage: Eukaryota; Viridiplantae; Streptophyta; Magnoliopsida; Poales; Poaceae
Description: partial small subunit ribosomal RNA
Source: RNAcentral